This 474-nucleotide ribosomal RNA is filed under the name uncultured Synechococcus sp. Its description in RNAcentral is "bacterial SSU rRNA". It matches the Rfam family "Bacterial small subunit ribosomal RNA", at positions 1 to 527 of the family's 1533-position model. The record is from RNAcentral. Lineage: Bacteria; Bacillati; Cyanobacteriota; Cyanophyceae; Synechococcales; Synechococcaceae.
UAGGGUUUGAUUAUGGCUCAGGAUGAACGCUGGCGGCGUGCUUAACACAUGCAAGUCGAACGAACCUUCGGGUUAGUGGCGGACGGGUGAGUAACGCGUGAGAAUCUGCCCUCAGGAGGGGGAUAACAGCUGGAAACGGCUGCUAAUACCCCAUAUGCCGCGAGGUGAAAUGAAUUUCGCCUGAGGAUGAGCUCGCGUUUGAUUAGCUAGUUGGUGUAGGUAAUGGCUCACCAAGGCAUCGAUCAGUAGCUGGUCUGAGAGGAUGAUCAGCCACACUGGGACUGAGACACGGCCCAGACUCCUACGGGAGGCAGCGGUGGGGAAUUUUCCGCAAUGGGCGAAAGCCUGACGGAGCAACGCCGCGUGAGGGAUGAAGGCCUCUGGGCUGUAAACCUCUUUUAUCAAGGAAGAAGAUCUGACGGUACUUGAUGAAUAAGCCACGGCUAAUUCCGUGCCAGCCGCCGCGGUAAUACA